GCUACACAUGCAGUCGAACGCUGAAGCCUGGUGCUUGCACCGGGUGGAUGAGUGGCGAACGGGUGAGUAACACGUGGUAACCUGCCCCUGACUUCGGGAUAAGCCCGGGAAACUGGGUCUAAUACCGGAUACGACUGCCGGACGCAUGUCUGGUGGUGGAAAGUUUUUUCGGUUGGGGAUGGGCUCGCGGCCUAUCAGUUUGUUGGUGAGGUAAUGGCUCACCAAGACGACGACGGGUAGCCGGCCUGAGAGGGCGACCGGCCACACUGGGACUGAGACACGGCCCAGACUCCUACGGGAGGCAGCAGUGGGGAAUAUUGCACAAUGGGGGAAACCCUGAUGCAGCGACGCAGCGUGCGGGAUGACGGCCUUCGGGUUGUAAACCGCUUUCAGCAGGGAAGAAGCGCAAGUGACGGUACCUGCAGAAGAAGUACCGGCUAACUACGUGCCAGCAGCCGCGGUAAUACGUAGGGUACGAGCGUUGUCCGGAAUUAUUGGGCGUAAAGAGCUCGUAGGUGGUUGGUCACGUCUGCUGUGGAAACGCAACGCUUAACGUUGCGCGUGCAGUGGGUACGGGCUGACUAGAGUGCAGUAGGGGAGUCUGGAAUUCCUGGUGUAGCGGUGAAAUGCGCAGAUAUCAGGAGGAACACCGGUGGCGAAGGCGGGACUCUGGGCUGUAACUGACACUGAGGAGCGAAAGCAUGGGGAGCGAACAGGAUUAGAUACCCUGGUAGUCCAUGCCGUAAACGUUGGGCACUAGGUGUGGGGGGCAUUCCACGUUCUCCGCGCCGUAGCUAACGCAUUAAGUGCCCCGCCUGGGGAGUACGGUCGCAAGGCUAAAACUCAAAGGAAUUGACGGGGGCCC
Molecule: ribosomal RNA, 865 nt
Filed under: Brevibacterium sp. DBT35
Lineage: Bacteria; Bacillati; Actinomycetota; Actinomycetes; Micrococcales; Brevibacteriaceae
Description: bacterial SSU rRNA
Rfam family: Bacterial small subunit ribosomal RNA
Source: RNAcentral